Molecule: ribosomal RNA, 253 nt
Filed under: uncultured bacterium
Lineage: Bacteria
Description: partial 16S ribosomal RNA
Rfam family: Bacterial small subunit ribosomal RNA
Source: RNAcentral
UACGUAGGCAGCGAGCGUUGUUCGGAGUUACUGGGCGUAAAGGGUGUGUAGGCGGUUCUUUAAGUUUGGUGUGAAAUCUCCCGGCUCAACCGGGAGGGUGCGCCGAAUACUGAGGGACUAGAGUGCGGGAGAGGAAAGUGGAAUUCCUGGUGUAGCGGUGAAAUGCGUAGAUAUCAGGAGGAACACCGGUGGUGUAGACGGCUUUCUGGACCGUAACUGACGCUGGGACACGAAAGCGUGGGUAGCAAACAGG